RNAcentral lists this long non-coding RNA (514 nucleotides) under Homo sapiens (human). RNAcentral's name for it is "HSALNT0367322". Lineage: Eukaryota; Metazoa; Chordata; Mammalia; Primates; Hominidae. The record is from RNAcentral.
CCAAGGGCGGAGUCGCUGCGGACACCGCCCCGCCGAGCCCUCCCGCGAGCAGCAAAGCACUAAAAGGCCAGUUGAGUCCUUCUAGCAACCACCCUAUUGAAAACAGGCUUCCAUGCUCAUAGUAAGCUUUGUCCCAGCAUUCCGAAGAUUGCAGUUGUUAGACCCUCGGGGCAAAGGAUCUGGGAGGAAUGGAAAAAGCACUAAAAAGACCAAGGCCUGUUUGUAUGAUGUCCAUCUUCCUGUAUGAUGUCCAGAGACCCAAUCCUGUUCUGUGAAAAAUGUUAAUGGACCAACCUUCAGUUCCGAUGUAGGCAGCAGAUCCAACACCACAAUCUAGGUGCCGUGGCUUCAGGCAAGGAAACUUAACAGAGAAACUAAGAAAACUGUGUGAUCCCAGAGCAAGCGCUACCAUUGUUAUGAAGUAAAUACUAAUUAUUAUAAAGAUAAAAAUAAUCAAGUUAAAACCAGGUAAGAUUUUAGAACCAAGGCAUAAAAUUCUCUUAAAAACUGGUUG